UACGUAGGGGGCAAGCGUUGUCCGGAUUUACUGGGCGUAAAGAGCGUGUAGGCGGCCACGCAGGUCCGUUGUGAAAACUGGAGGCUCAACCUCCAGCUGUCGACGGAAACCGUGUGGCUAGAGUCCGGAAGAGGAGAGUGGAAUUCCUGGUGUAGCGGUGAAAUGCGCAGAUAUCAGGAAGAACACCAAUGGCGAAGGCAGCUCUCUGGCCCGGUACUGACGCUGAGGUGCGAAAGCGUGGGGAGCAAACAGG
This 253-nucleotide ribosomal RNA is filed under the name uncultured bacterium. RNAcentral describes it as "partial 16S ribosomal RNA". It matches the Rfam family "Bacterial small subunit ribosomal RNA", at positions 524 to 776 of the family's 1533-position model. The record is from RNAcentral.